GUGGGUGGAAGUCAGAGGACAACUUAUGGGAAACUAUCCUCUCUUCCCACCAUGCAUUGCUAGGGAACAAAUCAGGCCAUGAGACUCGGCAGCGAGCAUCCCUACCCACUGAGCCAUCUCACCAGCUCUCGUUCUUUCUCACACAUUUUCGAUGCUAAGGAUCAACUCAAGCCCAGGACCUCAGGCACACUAGUCAAUUGCCCUGUCCCACUGAGCUAAAUUGCUAGCCUUCAUCUGUUUAAUUCCGAGGCCCUUGCUCUGAACACUACUAUCAAGGAGCUGUUUCCAUCUGCUGUCGCCGAGCACUGCCCACCAGACACCGAGCACUGCCCACCAGACACCGAGCACAGCCCACCAGACACCGGAAAACCUUGGGUGUCUCAGACAAUGGCCACGCGUUAGAUGUGCCUCACUUAGCUGAACAAAAACUUCAAACCACAUUUGACUGGUUUCCAAAUGACAGCAGCUGCGGGUCAGUCUCAAAGAGGAACGCCUGCGCAUGCGUUCCGCGCUACUCCCUGCCCACUUGAGGCUGCCUGGGACCCACUGGAGGUGAAAUCAGGGGCCUCUUCAUUCUAGAAGGCUUCAGUGGGCUGGAGAGACAGAGAUGGCUCACGAAGUUUAGAGAACGCCUGAGGAGUCAAGCAACCUAUCAGAGGCCACUCAGCCAGGAAGCAGAGAGAAGAAGGUUGCAAUGUGAACUCGGCCACUCCAGAAGGCAAGCUACUUAAACUCGC
Molecule: long non-coding RNA, 737 nt
Organism: Rattus norvegicus (Norway rat)
Lineage: Eukaryota; Metazoa; Chordata; Mammalia; Rodentia; Muridae
Source: Ensembl